GAUGAACGCUGGCGGCGUGCCUAAUACAUGCAGGUCGAGCGAACGGACGAGAAGCUUGCUUCUCUGAUGUUAGCGGCGGACGGGUGAGUAACACGUGGAUAACCUACCUAUAAGACUGGGAUAACUUCGGGAAACCGGAGCUAAUACCGGAUAAUAUUUUGAACCGCAUGGUUCAAAAGUGAAAGACGGUCUUGCUGUCACUUAUAGAUGGAUCCGCGCUGCAUUAGCUAGUUGGUAAGGUAACGGCUUACCAAGGCAACGAUGCAUAGCCGACCUGAGAGGGUGAUCGGCCACACUGGAACUGAGACACGGUCCAGGCUCCUACGGGAGGCAGCAGUAGGGAAUCUUCCGCAAUGGGCGAAAGCCUGACGGAGCAACGCCGCGUGAGUGAUGAAGGUCUUCGGAUCGUAAAACUCUGUUAUUAGGGAAGAACAUAUGUGUAAGUAACUGUGCACAUCUUGACGGUACCUAAUCAGAAAGCCACGGCUAACUACGUG
RNAcentral lists this ribosomal RNA (497 nucleotides) under uncultured bacterium. RNAcentral describes it as "partial 16S ribosomal RNA". It matches the Rfam family "Bacterial small subunit ribosomal RNA", at positions 28 to 507 of the family's 1533-position model. The record is from RNAcentral.